GAUAAACGCUAGCGACAGGCUUAACACAUGCAAGUCGAGGGGCAGCGGGGUGUGGCAACACACUGCCGGCGACCGGCGCACGGGUGAGUAACGCGUAUGCAACUUGCCUAUCAGAGGGGGAUAACCCGGCGAAAGUCGGACUAAUACCGCAUAAAACAGGGGUUCCGCAUGGGGAUAUUUGUUAAAGAUUCAUCGCUGAUAGAUAGGCAUGCGUUCCAUUAGGCAGUUGGCGGGGUAACGGCCCACCAAACCGACGAUGGAUAGGGGUUCUGAGAGGAAGGUGCCCCACAUUGGUACUGAGACACGGACCAAACUCCUACGGGAGGCAGCAGUGAGGAAUAUUGGUCAAUGGCCGGGAGGCUGAACCAGCCAAGUCGCGUGAAGGAUGAAGGUUCUAUGGAUUGUAAACUUCUUUUGUGCGGGAAUAAGGUCGGGGAUGCGUCCCCGUUUGCAUGUACCGUACGAAUAAGCAUCGGCUAACUCCGUGCCAGCAGCCGCCGUAA
RNAcentral lists this ribosomal RNA (503 nucleotides) under uncultured bacterium. RNAcentral describes it as "partial 16S ribosomal RNA". It matches the Rfam family "Bacterial small subunit ribosomal RNA", at positions 28 to 523 of the family's 1533-position model. The record is from RNAcentral.